This 176-nucleotide ribosomal RNA is filed under the name uncultured Ehrlichia sp. Its description in RNAcentral is "partial 16S ribosomal RNA". It matches the Rfam family "Bacterial small subunit ribosomal RNA", at positions 524 to 699 of the family's 1533-position model. The record is from RNAcentral. Lineage: Bacteria; Pseudomonadati; Pseudomonadota; Alphaproteobacteria; Rickettsiales; Anaplasmataceae.
UACGGAGGGGGCAAGCGUUGUUCGGAAUUAUUGGGCGUAAAGGGCACGUAGGUGGACUAGUAAGUUAAAAGUGAAAUACCAAAGCUUAACUUUGGAGCGGCUUUUAAUACUGCUAGACUAGAGGUCGAAAGAGGAUAGCGGAAUUCCUAGUGUAGAGGUGAAAUUCGUAGAUAUUA